CCUGAUGACGCAACGCCGCGUGGAGGAUGAAGGUCUUCGGAUUGUAAACUCCUGUUGCCCGGGACGAAAUGCUCCAACCUAAUACGUUGGAGUUUGACGGUACCGGGUGAGGAAGCCCCGGCUAACUCUGUGCCAGCAGCCGCGGUAAUACAGAGGGGGCAAGCGUUGUUCGGAAUUACUGGGCGUAAAGGGCGCGUAGGCGGCCUUCUAAGUCGAACGUGAAAUCCCCGGGCUCAACCCGGGAACUGCGUCCGAGACUGGGAGACUAGAAUCCGGGAGAGGGAUGUGGAAUUCCAGGUGUAGCGGUGAAAUGCGUAGAUAUCUGGAGGAACAUCGGUGGCGAAGGCGGCAUCCUGGACCGGUAUUGACGCUGAGGCGCGAAAGCCAGGGGAGCAAACGGGAUUAGAUACCCCGGUAGUCCUGGCCCUAAACGAUGAAUGCUUGGUGUGGCGGGUAUCGAUCCCUGCCGUGCCGAAGCUAACGCAUUAAGCAUUCCGCCUGGGGAGUACGGUCGCAAGGCUG
This 522-nucleotide ribosomal RNA is filed under the name uncultured Acidobacteriota bacterium. Its description in RNAcentral is "bacterial SSU rRNA". It matches the Rfam family "Bacterial small subunit ribosomal RNA", at positions 382 to 896 of the family's 1533-position model. The record is from RNAcentral. Lineage: Bacteria; Pseudomonadati; Acidobacteriota.